GUACUCGUUUAGGCAGCACAUAAUAGUAAAAUUGAAACGAUACAGAGAAGGUUAGCAUGGCCCCUGUGCAAAGAUGACAUGCAAAUUUGUGAAGUGUUCCAUAUUAAA
Small nuclear RNA from Suncus etruscus (white-toothed pygmy shrew), 108 nucleotides. NCBI's taxonomy places the organism in Eukaryota, Metazoa, Chordata, Mammalia, Eulipotyphla, Soricidae. The record is from RefSeq and is a predicted model, not a curated record.